GGCCUCGUAGCUCAGUUGGCUAGAGCGUUGGGCUGCACUAAAGUCUUCUCCUUGGUGGCGUGGGUUUGAAUCCCACCGAGGCCG
RNAcentral lists this transfer RNA (84 nucleotides) under Schistocephalus solidus. It matches the Rfam family "tRNA". Rfam says of the family: Transfer RNA (tRNA) molecules are approximately 80 nucleotides in length. Their secondary structure includes four short double-helical elements and three loops (D, anti-codon, and T loops). Lineage: Eukaryota; Metazoa; Platyhelminthes; Cestoda; Diphyllobothriidea; Diphyllobothriidae. The record is from Rfam by way of RNAcentral.